This 598-nucleotide ribosomal RNA is filed under the name uncultured Bacteroidales bacterium. RNAcentral describes it as "bacterial SSU rRNA". It matches the Rfam family "Bacterial small subunit ribosomal RNA", at positions 88 to 685 of the family's 1533-position model. The record is from RNAcentral. Lineage: Bacteria; Pseudomonadati; Bacteroidota; Bacteroidia; Bacteroidales.
AUGGCGACCGGCGCACGGGUGAGUAACACGUAUCCAACCUGCCGAUAACUCGGGGAUAGCCUUUCGAAAGAAAGAUUAAUACCCGAUGGUAUAAUUAGACCGCAUGGUCUUGUUAUUAAAGAAUUUCGGUUAUCGAUGGGGAUGCGUUCCAUUAGGCAGUUGGUGAGGUAACGGCUCACCAAACCUUCGAUGGAUAGGGGUUCUGAGAGGAAGGUCCCCCACAUUGGAACUGAGACACGGUCCAAACUCCUACGGGAGGCAGCAGUGAGGAAUAUUGGUCAAUGGGCGCAGGCCUGAACCAGCCAAGUAGCGUGAAGGAUGACUGCCCUAUGGGUUGUAAACUUCUUUUAUAUGGGAAUAAAGUUUUCCACGUGUGGAAUUUUGUAUGUACCAUAUGAAUAAGGAUCGGCUAACUCCGUGCCAGCAGCCGCGGUAAUACGGAGGAUCCGAGCGUUAUCCGGAUUUAUUGGGUUUAAAGGGAGCGUAGGUGGACAGUUAAGUCAGUUGUGAAAGUUUGCGGCUCAACCGUAAAAUUGCAGUUGAAACUGGCAGUCUUGAGUACAGUAGAGGUGGGCGGAAUUCGUGGUGUAGCGGUGAA